Long non-coding RNA from Aquila chrysaetos chrysaetos, 601 nucleotides. RefSeq lists it as uncharacterized. The transcript has 4 exons. The record is from RefSeq and is a predicted model, not a curated record. Lineage: Eukaryota; Metazoa; Chordata; Aves; Accipitriformes; Accipitridae.
GCAGCAGUGAAAUGGGCAAUGUGAUGCACCGAGGAGCUUGGCUUUGGGCGCAUAGCAAAAAAGUCUCAUUAAGGAAGACUGAAGCUUAGGACCCAGAGGCACGUGGGAGAAGAGAGUCUAGCACCAGAAAAAACAGUACCCCAGACACAGACAGUUCCAGUCUGCUCCAACACAGCUACUGCAGAGCACAGCUGAGCCCUGCAGCCAAGAUGGUGGCAUCUCAGGAAAAGCCUGUGUAAGAAGGGGCAAAGUGCUAGCCAUCAGUAAGAAAUGAGGGGAAAGUGUGAGAAACAGCCCUGCAAGCCCUGAGUCAUUGGAAAGGACCAUGGUAGAGCAGGUAUCCAGCCCGUGGAGGACCCCAUGCCAGAGCAGGUGGGUAUGACCUGGAGGAAGCUGCAGCUGGUGGAGGACUCCAUGGAGGAGCAGGGUCCUGGCAGGAGAGGAGCCCACACAGGAGCAGGUUUUCUGGCAGGAACUGCGGCCCGUGGAGGAACCAUGCUGGAGCAGUGUGUUCCUGAUGGACUGUACCCCAUGGAGAGGACCCAUGCUGGAGCAGUUCUUGAAGAACUGCAGCCUGUGGGAAGAACCCCGUGCUGGAGCA